RNAcentral lists this ribosomal RNA (193 nucleotides) under uncultured bacterium. Its description in RNAcentral is "partial 16S ribosomal RNA". It matches the Rfam family "Bacterial small subunit ribosomal RNA", at positions 1297 to 1500 of the family's 1533-position model. The record is from RNAcentral.
AUUGUAGGCUGCAACUCGCCUACAUGAAGUCGGAGUUGCUAGUAAUCGCGGAUCAGAAUGCCGCGGUGAAUGCGUUCCCGGGUCUUGUACACACCGCCCGUCACACCAUGGAAGUUGGGGGCGCCCGAAGUUGCCUAAGAAAUAAGGUACCUAAGGCGAAACCAAUGACUGGGUGAAGUCGUAACAAGGUAAC